RNAcentral lists this ribosomal RNA (286 nucleotides) under Apis cerana (Asiatic honeybee). RNAcentral's name for it is "partial 16S large subunit ribosomal RNA". Lineage: Eukaryota; Metazoa; Arthropoda; Insecta; Hymenoptera; Apidae. The record is from RNAcentral.
CCCUAUAGAAUUUUAUUUAAAUAAUUAUUUAUUUAAAUUAUUUUUGAAUAUAUAAUUAAUUUAAAUUUGAUUGGGAGGAUUGGUAAAUAAAAAUAACUUUAUCUAAAAAUUAAUUUUGAUGAAAAGAUUUAUUUUUGACUUAUAAUUUAUGAUUAAAAGAAUAAAUUACCUUAGGGAUAACAGCGUAAUAUCUUUUGAUAGACCACAUUGAUAAAGAUGUUUGCGACCUCGAUGUUGAAUUAAGAGAAAAGUUAAACGCAGGAGUUUAAAAUUUUAAGUCUGUUCG